Molecule: ribosomal RNA, 253 nt
Filed under: uncultured bacterium
Lineage: Bacteria
Description: partial 16S ribosomal RNA
Rfam family: Bacterial small subunit ribosomal RNA
Source: RNAcentral
UACAGAGGGGGCAAGCGUUAUUCGGAAUUAUUGGGCGUAAAGGGCGCGUAGGCGGCCUGGCAAGUGGGAGGUGAAAUCCCUCGGCUUAACCGAGGAACUGCCUCCCAAACUGCUUGGCUUGAGACCGGGAGAGGUGAGUGGAAUUCCCAGUGUAGCGGUGAAAUGCGUAGAUAUUGGGAGGAACACCAGUGGCGAAGGCGGCUCACUGGACCGGUACUGACGCUGAGGCGCGAAAGCGUGGGGAGCAAACGGG